UACGAAGGGGGCUAGCGUUGUUCGGAAUUACUGGGCGUAAAGCGCACGUAGGCGGAUUUGUUAGUCAGGGGUGAAAUCCCGGAGCUCAACUCCGGAACUGCCCUUGAAACUGCAGUGCUAGAAUCUUGGAGAGGCGAGUGGAAUUCCGAGUGUAGAGGUGAAAUUCGUAGAUAUUCGGAAGAACACCAGUGGCGAAGGCGACUCGCUGGACAAGUAUUGACGCUGAGGUGCGAAAGCGUGGGGAGCAAACAGG
Molecule: ribosomal RNA, 253 nt
Filed under: uncultured bacterium
Lineage: Bacteria
Description: partial 16S ribosomal RNA
Rfam family: Bacterial small subunit ribosomal RNA
Source: RNAcentral